AGUGGAUGACUUUACCCCCCGAUGACAGGGAACAAGAGCAUCCAGGGAUCGCCGUUUCCAUCAAGAUCGCUUCAGUUCGGAUGGCUUCUAAGCAGAGACAACCGGAAUUGGACUGUUUACGAGCUCAUUAUCAGCUCAUAAACAUGAAAGCGGCAGCCAGACACAGAUAUGUUAUGAGUUAUUUAUUUAUUGAAAGCAUUUAUUACUAUUUCUCUAAAGGAAAAUGGAAAAAGGAAAACGGGGUAAUAAGCCUUUGGCCAAAACCGUGUGAACGGCUAGCAAGAGAAUUAUGGUGAGAAAUCGGCGAGUUGCUCUUUAUAGAUUUCCAAUGUAAAUAUUUACAAUGUUUAUUUUUAAACCAUAUAUGUACAGAUAUAAUAUAGAUGUUUGUAGUACAUCGCGUAUGCAUGUUAUGAUCGUGCCAGAUAAAUAUUAUGAAACUUUGCUGGGAGCCCAGUGGCGGAUCCCGUGAUUUGCCCUGGACUUUAACGGGGUGUUAAUGACUCUGGGAACGGCGUUUAGCAACUUAAGUUAGUUAUCGGCGGAAGGCAAACAGAAAUGUCGCACUUAACCGGGUCUUAAUGACCCAGCCGUGAUAUCAUCGAUAGACAAACACACGACUGGCGGCCAAACGAAGCGUGAAAAGUGCCCAAGGUCGAGGGGCAAACGAAAAAGCGGAACUCUAACUGGGCAAAAAGCAGGUGCAGUGCCAAACGAAAGCCAAAACGGUUAGCGAAAUCUACGUGCCUACAAAUCCUGCGCACUUACAGCGAGCGGAUUUUCACUGAUAUCCUCUGGGUCCGCAAUCUUGGCCAAUUCGGAACACACACACACACUAAUGGAUUUGCGAUGGAUUCGAAUUCGAAUCCCGAGAGAUUGGGACACGCGACCAAUGGGACUCUUUUUUUAGAACGGAUGGUGCUGUGGCCGCCGCGCCGACACUUUUUGUACUGCGUUGUCUGCAGCGAUCUGCGCCUGUGAUCAGUCACAUAAAUAUGUGUCCACUAACUAACGAGACGCGACCAAGCCCAAAACGAUCAUCGUUUGCGUACACUGCAAGGAAUUUUCAGACGAAAAUGAUUUCAAUAUAACAAUCCAACUACCUUUGGAGCAUUGAAAAUGAACAUAAAUAUGUAGAGUGUAUAAUUCAUGACAAUAUAAUCUUUAAGUGGUUCUGCAUAAUAUCAUCGUGAAAUUCCUCUAAGUGCAUACAUAUUAUAAACAAAUGCUUAAUAAGUAAAUAUCAAAUUACGAUAUAUUUGGUAUAUACUAUUU
Molecule: non-coding RNA, 1275 nt
Organism: Drosophila melanogaster (fruit fly)
Lineage: Eukaryota; Metazoa; Arthropoda; Insecta; Diptera; Drosophilidae
Source: Ensembl